AUGGAAUUUGGGCUGAGCUGGGUUUUUCUUGCUGCUAUUUUAAAAGGUAAUUCAUGGAGAACUAAGGAUAUUGAGUGUGAGGGGACAUGAGAUGUCUCUGUGUUUGCAGGUGUGCAGUGUGAAGUGCAGCUGGUGGAGUCUGGGGGAGGCUUGGUCCAGCCUGGGGGGUCCCUGAGACUCUCCUGUGCAGCCUCUGUAUUCACCUUCAGUAACAGUGACAUAAACUGGGUCCUCUAGGCUCCAGGAAAGGGGCUGGAGUGGGUCUCGGGUAUUAGUUGGAAUGGCGGUAAGACGCACUAUGUGGACUCCGUGAAGGGCCAAUUUUCCAUCUCCAGAGACAAUUCCAGCAAGUCCCUGUAUCUGCAAAAGAACAGACAGAGAGCCAAGGACAUGGCCGUGUAUUACUGUGUGAGA
This 414-nucleotide long non-coding RNA is filed under the name Homo sapiens (human). RNAcentral's name for it is "non-protein coding lnc-TP53TG3C-12:1". The record is from RNAcentral. Lineage: Eukaryota; Metazoa; Chordata; Mammalia; Primates; Hominidae.